RNAcentral lists this ribosomal RNA (292 nucleotides) under uncultured Staphylococcus sp. RNAcentral describes it as "partial 16S ribosomal RNA". It matches the Rfam family "Bacterial small subunit ribosomal RNA", at positions 505 to 796 of the family's 1533-position model. The record is from RNAcentral. Lineage: Bacteria; Bacillati; Bacillota; Bacilli; Caryophanales; Staphylococcaceae.
GUGUCAGCCGCCGCGGUAAUACGUAGGGGGCAAGCGUUGUCCGGAUUUAUUGGGCGUAAAGAGCUCGUAGGCGGCUAUGUUAGUCGGGUGUGAAAACUCGUGGCUUAACCGUGGAGGGUCAUUGGAAACUGGAAAACUUGAGUGCAGAAGAGGAAAGUGGAAUUCCAUGUGUAGCGGUGAAAUGCGCAGAGAUAUGGAGGAACACCAGUGGCGAAGGCGACUUUCUGGUCUGUAACUGACGCUGAUGUGCGAAAGCGUGGGGAUCAAACAGGAUUAGAUACCCCCGUAGUCC